GUGUUAAGUGGAAAAGGAUGUGGGAUUUCGAAGACAACUAGGAUGUUGGCUCAGAAGCAGCCACACAUUAAAAGAGUGCGUAAUAGCUCACUAGUCGAGAGGUCCUGCGCCGAAAAUGUCCGGGGCUGAAACACGACACCGAAGCUUAGGAACAGAAAUGUUGGUAGAGGAGCAUUGUUAGCGGAACGAAGCCAUACCGGAAGGAGUGGUGGACUGCUAAGAAGAGAGAAUGCCGGAAUGAGUAGCGAGAUUGAAGUGAGAAUCUUCAAGGCCGAAUAUCUAAGGUUUCCAGGGUAAAGCUGAUCUGCCCUGGGUAAGUCGGGACCUAAGGCGAGGUCGAAAGACGUAGCCGAUGGACAACAGGUUGAAAUUCCUGUACUGCGAUAUAUCAGAAAUGUGGGGACACAGAAGGAAAGUGUGAGCCGGGAAAGGAAAGACCGGUGCAAGCACAGGAGGAGAGAUACAGGCAAAUCCGUAUCUUAAUCCAAUGGUGUUACGCGGAGCGAACAAAAGUAGCGAAGCACAUGGACCAUCUGUCGAGAAAAGCCGCUAUAGUGUAUAUUGUACCCGUACCGUAAACCGACACAGGUGGAUGAGGAGAGAAUCCUAAGGCCGGCGGGAGAAGCAUUGUUAAGGAACUCGGCAAAAUGACCCCGUAACUUCGGGAGAAGGGGUGCUCCAGAGAUGGAGCCGCAGAGAACUGGCCCAAGCAACUGUUUAGCAAAAACACAGGUCUAUGCAAAACCGAAAGGUGAGGUAUAUGGGCUGACGCCUGCCCGGUGCUGGAAGGUUAAGAGGAGAUGUUAGAGCAAUCGAAGCAUUGAAUUUAAGCCCCAGUAAACGGCGGCCGUAACUAUAACGGUCCUAAGGUAGCGAAAUUCCUUGUCGGGUAAGUUCCGACCCGCACGAAAGGCGUAAUGAUUUGGGCACUGUCUCGACAAUGCACCCGGUGAAAUUGAAAUACCAGUGAAGAUGCUGGUUACCUGCGCCAGGACGGAAAGACCCCAUGGAGCUUUACUCUAGCUUGAUACUGGGAUUCGGUAUUGCAUGUACAGGAUAGGUGGGAGACUGAGAAGUGAUGACGCCAGUUGUCACAGAGUCGAUGUUGGGAUACCACCCCUGCAGUACUGGGUUUCUAACCUGCGGCCGUGACCCGGCCGGGGGACAAUGUCUGGUGGGGAGUUUGACUGGGGCGGUCGCCUCCGAAAGGGUAUCGGAGGCGCUCAAAGGUUCCCUCAGAAUGGUUGGAAACCAUUCGAAGAGUGCAAAGGCAGAAGGGAGCUUGACUGCGACACCGACGG
RNAcentral lists this ribosomal RNA (1301 nucleotides) under metagenome. Its description in RNAcentral is "bacterial LSU rRNA". It matches the Rfam family "Bacterial large subunit ribosomal RNA", at positions 1056 to 2387 of the family's 2925-position model. The record is from RNAcentral.